Austrofundulus limnaeus is the source of this 293-nucleotide long non-coding RNA. RefSeq lists it as uncharacterized. The record is from RefSeq and is a predicted model, not a curated record. NCBI's taxonomy places the organism in Eukaryota, Metazoa, Chordata, Actinopteri, Cyprinodontiformes, Rivulidae. The transcript has 2 exons.
CUGGGACAGACCAUGCAAGGAUGGUCUUAUAUGCUGCUCUAAUGGAUGUGGUUUCACAUGCAGAAAACCAAUUCCAGUUUAGCACAAACUUUGUGGAAAACAUCUGCUCAUUCCUCACUGUCGUGAUGAUAAUGAUGGUGAAUGCAGCUGCAAGAAGAAGUGCUCUUUAAACAGAUGUGAAGACAUCUGUUAACAACGUUUUUUUCCCUUAAAAACACCAACUGAGCUGCACCAUACAGUCCAGUAUGCUCUUCUUUGGUUUCUUUAAUAAAGUCAUAAUGAUUAAAAACUCA